This 282-nucleotide ribosomal RNA is filed under the name Buccinum undatum (waved whelk). Its description in RNAcentral is "partial 16S ribosomal RNA". Lineage: Eukaryota; Metazoa; Mollusca; Gastropoda; Neogastropoda; Buccinidae. The record is from RNAcentral.
CUCCAGUGUUUGGAAAAAAAGCUAUCCUCGAGAGUUUUUUCUAUUACGACAAUAGGGAUGCCAUUGAUUAAGGAAAUUAGUUUUACAAAACCUAGUUAUGAACGAAUCAAAANUUGAAAAUUUCCUUCGAAAAAAACAAGGAGUCAGCGGGGUUGAUUUUAAAGAUUAUCGACUAAAAGACCAUAGUAAUUAACAAAUCAGAUGAUCAAAGAAAUUUCGAGCUAUCCCAGAAGAACAGAAAAUUAAAUUAUAUCCGAAGAAGUGGAUAUUUAUUUUAAGACA